This 42-nucleotide small nuclear RNA is filed under the name Cervus elaphus hippelaphus. The record is from RNAcentral. Lineage: Eukaryota; Metazoa; Chordata; Mammalia; Artiodactyla; Cervidae.
UGCUUAAGAAAGAUGCAAAUUCGUGAAGCGUUCCAUAUUUUU